CACUAUUAUCGGUACAUCGAAUUGCGGGACAUGGGAACACACCCAUAGGAUAACCAAGCCUAACCUUAAGACCAAAGCACCUACGCUCCUUUCAUGCCAGGAGCUAGUUAACUAUGUCCAGCCUAUUAUUAGGCACUCCUGCUACAAAGUAUACUGUGUCUUAUGAAGGCACCCGACUUAGAGCCACGCUUUAUGUUAAAAGUCCGCUUACUAGCAAUAAGGAUGUUACAUACUAUACAUAUGUACGUACGCCAAAACAAUGACGGUUGUCACUCUACAUACUUUACCUUUCUGUUAUCCUAUGUACGCCUACUGUUAGUUACGUAACUUAUCGCUGUAAUUAAACCCUGUCAGGAGACGUGGUUAUGUGGGCACAAAAAAAUGUGACUCAAAAUAUGGAAAUAUCGCUACAAUACCCUUGUCUUCUAAGUAGGCCUGCGAGCCGAAUUCUUUCU
This is a non-coding RNA of Pelobates cultripes (western spadefoot toad), 455 nucleotides long. The record is from the annotation of a GenBank genome assembly. NCBI's taxonomy places the organism in Eukaryota, Metazoa, Chordata, Amphibia, Anura, Pelobatidae.